RNAcentral lists this ribosomal RNA (3088 nucleotides) under Salmonella enterica subsp. enterica serovar Typhimurium. RNAcentral's name for it is "23S ribosomal RNA". It matches the Rfam family "Bacterial large subunit ribosomal RNA". Lineage: Bacteria; Pseudomonadati; Pseudomonadota; Gammaproteobacteria; Enterobacterales; Enterobacteriaceae. The record is from RNAcentral.
GGUUAAGCGACUAAGCGUACACGGUGGAUGCCCUGGCAGUCAGAGGCGAUGAAGGGCGUGCUAAUCUGCGAUAAGCGCCGGUAAGGUGAUAUGAACCGUUAUAACCGGCGAUACCCGAAUGGGGAAACCCAGUGUGAUUCGUCACACUAUCAUUAACUGAAUCCAUAGGUUAAUGAGGCGAACCGGGGGAACUGAAACAUCUAAGUACCCCGAGGAAAAGAAAUCAACCGAGAUUCCCCCAGUAGCGGCGAGCGAACGGGGAGGAGCCCAGAGCCUGAAUCAGCAUGUGUGUUAGUGGAAGCGUCUGGAAAGGCGCGCGAUACAGGGUGACAGCCCCGUACACAAAAGCGCAUGUGCUGUGAGCUCGAUGAGUAGGGCGGGACACGUGGUAUCCUGUCUGAAUAUGGGGGGACCAUCCUCCAAGGCUAAAUACUCCUGACUGACCGAUAGUGAACCAGUACCGUGAGGGAAAGGCGAAAAGAACCCCGGCGAGGGGAGUGAAAAAGAACCUGAAACCGUGUACGUACAAGCAGUGGGAGCCCCACCACUAAGCCAGUGGUGAACUCCACAUCCGCAUCCUUUGCUGAGGAUACGGUUAACGGAGCGAAAGCGACGUUCAACCGCAAAACAAGCAGAGGGGGCUUAGUGGUGGGGUGACUGCGUACCUUUUGUAUAAUGGGUCAGCGACUUAUAUUCUGUAGCAAGGUUAACCGAAUAGGGGAGCCGGAGGGAAACCGAGUCUUAAUUGGGCGUUAAGUUGCAGGGUAUAGACCCGAAACCCGGUGAUCUAGCCAUGGGCAGGUUGAAGGUUGGGUAACACUAACUGGAGGACCGAACCGACUAAUGUUGAAAAAUUAGCGGAUGACCUGUGGCUGGGGGUGAAAGGCCAAUCAAACCGGGAGAUAGCUGGUUCUCCCCGAAAGCUAUUUAGGUAGCGCCUCGUGAAUUCAUCUCCGGGGGUAGAGCACUGUUUCGGCUAGGGGGCCAUCCCGGCUUACCAACCCGAUGCAAACUGCGAAUACCGGAGAAUGUUAUCACGGGAGACACACGGCGGGUGCUAACGUCCGUCGUGAAGAGGGAAACAACCCAGACCGCCAGCUAAGGUCCCAAAGUCAUGGUUAAGUGGGAAACGAUGUGGGAAGGCCCAGACAGCCAGGAUGUUGGCUUAGAAGCAGCCAUCAUUUAAAGAAAGCGUAAUAGCUCACUGGUCGAGUCGGCCUGCGCGGAAGAUGUAACGGGGCUAAACCAUGCACCGAAGCUGCGGCAGCGAACGUAUCACUUAAAGCGAUUCAGCGGGUUACGAUUGACGGAGCGAAGCGACGUCAAAGCGUAUACAAAGUCGAGUCGGUUUAAGGAUACGUUCGUUGGGUAGGGGAGCGUUCUGUAAGCCCGUGAAGGUGGCCUGUGAGGGUUGCUGGAGGUAUCAGAAGUGCGAAUGCUGACAUAAGUAACGAUAAAGCGGGUGAAAAGCCCGCUCGCCGGAAGACCAAGGGUUCCUGUCCAACGUUAAUCGGGCAGGGUGAGUCGACCCCUAAGGCGAGGCCGAAAGGCGUAGUCGAUGGGAAAACGGGUUAAUAUUCCCGUACUUGGUGUUACUGCGAAGGGGGGACGGAGAAGGCUAUGUUGGCCGGGCGACGGUUGUCCCGGUUUAAGCGUGUAGGUGUGUGUUCCAGGUAAAUCCGGUUCACUUUAACACUGAGGCGUGAUGACGAGGCACUACGGUGCUGAAGCAACAAAUGCCCUGCUUCCAGGAAAAGCCUCUAAGCAUCAGGUAACAUCAAAUCGUACCCCAAACCGACACAGGUGGUCAGGUAGAGAAUACCAAGGCGCUUGAGAGAACUCGGGUGAAGGAACUAGGCAAAAUGGUGCCGUAACUUCGGGAGAAGGCACGCUGACACGUAGGUGAAGUGAUUUACUCACGGAGCUGAAGUCAGUCGAAGAUACCAGCUGGCUGCAACUGUUUAUUAAAAACACAGCACUGUGCAAACACGAAAGUGGACGUAUACGGUGUGACGCCUGCCCGGUGCCGGAAGGUUAAUUGAUGGGGUCAGCGCAAGCGAAGCUCCUGAUCGAAGCCCCGGUAAACGGCGGCCGUAACUAUAACGGUCCUAAGGUAGCGAAAUUCCUUGUCGGGUAAGUUCCGACCUGCACGAAUGGCGUAAUGAUGGCCAGGCUGUCUCCACCCGAGACUCAGUGAAAUUGAACUCGCUGUGAAGAUGCAGUGUACCCGCGGCAAGACGGAAAGACCCCGUGAACCUUUACUAUAGCUUGACACUGAACAUUGAGCCUUGAUGUGUAGGAUAGGUGGGAGGCUUUGAAGUGUGGACGCCAGUCUGCAUGGAGCCGACCUUGAAAUACCACCCUUUAAUGUUUGAUGUUCUAACGUGGACCCGUAAUCCGGGUUGCGGACAGUGUCUGGUGGGUAGUUUGACUGGGGCGGUCUCCUCCUAAAGAGUAACGGAGGAGCACGAAGGUUGGCUAAUCCUGGUCGGACAUCAGGAGGUUAGUGCAAUGGCAUAAGCCAGCUUGACUGCGAGCGUGACGGCGCGAGCAGGUGCGAAAGCAGGUCAUAGUGAUCCGGUGGUUCUGAAUGGAAGGGCCAUCGCUCAACGGAUAAAAGGUACUCCGGGGAUAACAGGCUGAUACCGCCCAAGAGUUCAUAUCGACGGCGGUGUUUGGCACCUCGAUGUCGGCUCAUCACAUCCUGGGGCUGAAGUAGGUCCCAAGGGUAUGGCUGUUCGCCAUUUAAAGUGGUACGCGAGCUGGGUUUAGAACGUCGUGAGACAGUUCGGUCCCUAUCUGCCGUGGGCGCUGGAGAACUGAGGGGGGCUGCUCCUAGUACGAGAGGACCGGAGUGGACGCAUCACUGGUGUUCGGGUUGUCAUGCCAAUGGCACUGCCCGGUAGCUAAAUGCGGAAGAGAUAAGUGCUGAAAGCAUCUAAGCACGAAACUUGCCCCGAGAUGAGUUCUCCCUGAGACUUAGAGUCUCCUGAAGGAACGUUGAAGACGACGACGUUGAUAGGCCGGGUGUGUAAGCGCAGCGAUGCGUUGAGCUAACCGGUACUAAUGAACCGUGAGGCUUAACCUU